RNAcentral lists this ribosomal RNA (1046 nucleotides) under Trichonephila clavata. Its description in RNAcentral is "16S ribosomal RNA". The stretch from base 691 to 1001 matches the Rfam family "Archaeal large subunit ribosomal RNA", at positions 2153 to 2718 of the family's 2987-position model. The record is from RNAcentral. Lineage: Eukaryota; Metazoa; Arthropoda; Arachnida; Araneae; Nephilidae.
UUAUCUUAAAAAUUUUAUACUUAAUUAUUUUAUUUACUGUAAAGGGAAAAAAAAAUUUUUAUAAAGAAAUUUUUUGUUCCUUUAGUAUCAGGAAUUUUUUAAUUCACAAAAAUAAUUUUCUUUCCUGAAAAAAAGUCAACUAUAAAUUUAUAUAAAUAAUGUUGUAUAAUUAAAAUUAAUUUAUUUAUGGAAAUUAGACGUUAUUCGAACUUUUUGAUAUCCGGUAUCUUAAAAAAUCAAAUUAUAUUUAAUUUUAUAUAGAUAAUUAUAUAAAAAAAUUUUUUUUAAUAAUACUUAAAUCUAGGAAUAAUAGUAUCCACAAGGUUUCAUAACUUUCAACUUUUUUCUAUAAAUUUUAUUAUUAAGAUUACAUUAAUUAAAAAAAUUAAUAAAAAUAUAAGUAGGACAAAAAUCUAAUUUUUAUAUAAAAUAACAAAAAAAAAAUUAACCUUAAAUUAAGAACUAAGCAAAAAAUUUAAUGACUGUUUACCAAAGACAUUUCUAAUAUCUUCUUAAAUUAUUAGUAAAACCUGCUCCAUGUCCAAAUAAAUAGCCGCAGAACAUUCUGUGCUAAGGUAGCAUAAUCAUUAGUCUUUUAAUUGAAGACUUGUAUGAAAGGUUUAACAUUUUAAUUUCUUUUUUAUUUAAGCUUUUCUAAAUUAUACUAAAUAUAAAAAUAUAUUUAUAUAUUUAAAAGACGACAAGACCCUAUUGAACUUAACUUUUGUUUAGCUGGGGCAGCUAAUUAAUUAAUAUUUUAAAUUGACUAUUUUUUUAUAAAUGACCCAAUAAAAUUGAUUUUAUGAAUUAAGUUACCAUAGGGAUAACAGCGUAAUUUUUUUUAAAAGUUCAUAUUAAAAAAAAAGAUUGCGACCUCGAUGUUGAAUUAUUGUUACAAAUUAUACGCAGUAGUAUAUAAUGUAGGUCUGUUCGACCUUUAAAACUUUACAUGAUUUGAGUUCAAACCGGUCGGCGUAAGCCAGAUUGGUUUCUAUCUUUAAAAAAAUUUAUUUAGUACGAAAGGACCAAUAAAUUUAUUUUUAAUA